Long non-coding RNA from Raphanus sativus (radish), 585 nucleotides. RefSeq lists it as uncharacterized. Lineage: Eukaryota; Viridiplantae; Streptophyta; Magnoliopsida; Brassicales; Brassicaceae. The transcript is spliced from 3 exons. The record is from RefSeq and is a predicted model, not a curated record.
UCUAGAGAAAAAGGUCAAUUCUUUUUCCACUCGAUGUAUUGAUCUCAAACCCAGACUAGGCACAGCUCCGGCGACGCUUCUAUUCUGGCAAUCCCAAGCCUCUGCUUCUGCGAAACCCUAGACGUUGGAGGUGAAGAAGACCUGCUACUCUUCAAUGGCAGAAGUAGAGAACACUAAUUCUAUCCGGUCUCAGAAGACGAGAUGGCAAGCUACGAGCCUGGAGACGGGUAGAACUUCUUCCGCCUCUCUCUCUGUCUGUUCGAUUCGAUCUCAUAUAUAUUUCUCCAUCGCUGCUUCUCUGUCUAUUUCAAGUUCCGUUGAUUCUUCUUCUUCGUCGGGGACUAUUGAUUCAGUUACUCCAAGAGACCUGAUGCAACUGCAGAUUUGAGUGGUGCUAUUGAGGCUGGAAACAAGGAGGACAUUGAGAAGUACAGCAAAUGAACUGUGAAGUUAUUAUACCAUCCACUUCAAAGCAAUUGAACCAAGUACUCUUAUUAGUACAUCUACAAUAUCCCACUCUCCAGAUUGCAGAACAAUCUUCGCUCUGUGGUUGCUGUAACAGACUCGGAGUUGCUCUAUAAUCAG